AACGAACGCUGGCGGCAGCCCUAACACAUGCAAGUCGAGCGAGAUCUUCGGGUCUAGCGGCGGACGGGUGAGUAACGCGUGGGAAUAUGCCUCUUGGUACGGAAUAGCCUCGGGAAACUGGGAGUAAUACCGUAUGUGCCCUUUGGGGGAAAGAUUUAUCGCCAAGAGAUUAGCCCGCGUUGGAUUAGGUAGUUGGUGGGGUAAUGGCCUACCAAGCCGACGAUCCAUAGCUGGUUUGAGAGGAUGAUCAGCCACACUGGGACUGAGACACGGCCCAGACUCCUACGGGAGGCAGCAGUGGGGAAUCUUAGACAAUGGGGGCAACCCUGAUCUAGCCAUGCCGCGUGAGUGAUGAAGGCCUUAGGGUUGUAAAGCUCUUUCAGCUGGGAAGAUAAUGACGGUACCAGCAGAAGAAGCCCCGGCUAACUCCGUG
Molecule: ribosomal RNA, 433 nt
Filed under: uncultured bacterium
Lineage: Bacteria
Description: partial 16S ribosomal RNA
Rfam family: Bacterial small subunit ribosomal RNA
Source: RNAcentral